This 434-nucleotide ribosomal RNA is filed under the name uncultured bacterium. Its description in RNAcentral is "partial 16S ribosomal RNA". It matches the Rfam family "Bacterial small subunit ribosomal RNA", at positions 29 to 507 of the family's 1533-position model. The record is from RNAcentral.
AGCGAACGCUGGCGGCAGGCCUAACACAUGCAAGUCGAACGAACCUUUCGGGGUUAGUGGCGGACGGGUGAGUAACACGUGGGAACGUGCCUUUAGGUUCGGAAUAACUCAGGGAAACUUGUGCUAAUACCGAAUGUGCCCUUCGGGGGAAAGAUUAAUCGCCUUUAGAGCGGCCCGCGUCUGAUUAGCUAGUUGGUUGAGGUAAUGGCUCACCAAGGCGACGAUCAGUAGCUGGUCUGAGAGGAUGAUCAGCCACAUUGGGACUGAGACACGGCCCAAACUCCUACGGGAGGCAGCAGUGGGGAAUCUUGCGCAAUGGGCGAAAGCCUGACGCAGCCAUGCCGCGUGAAUGAAGAAGGUCUUAGGAUUGUAAAAUUCUUUCACCGGGGACGAUAAUGACGGUACCCGGAGAAGAAGCCCCGGCUAACUUCGUG